This 492-nucleotide ribosomal RNA is filed under the name uncultured bacterium. RNAcentral describes it as "partial 16S ribosomal RNA". It matches the Rfam family "Bacterial small subunit ribosomal RNA", at positions 29 to 507 of the family's 1533-position model. The record is from RNAcentral.
AGUGAACGCUGGCGGUAGGCCUAACACAUGCAAGUCGAACGGCAGCACAGUAAGAGCUUGCUCUUACGGGUGGCGAGUGGCGGACGGGUGAGGAAUACAUCGGAAUCUACUUUUUCGUGGGGGAUAACGUAGGGAAACUUACGCUAAUACCGCAUACGACCUACGGGUGAAAGCAGGGGAUCUUCGGACCUUGCGCGAUUGAAUGAGCCGAUGUCGGAUUAGCUAGUUGGCGGGGUAAAGGCCCACCAAGGCGACGAUCCGUAGCUGGUCUGAGAGGAUGAUCAGCCGCACUGGAACUGAGACACGGUCCAGACUCCUACGGGAGGCAGCAGUGGGGAAUAUUGGACAAUGGGCGCAAGCCUGAUCCAGCCAUACCGCGUGGGUGAAGAGGGCCUUCGGGUUGUAAAGCCCUUUUGUUGGGAAAGAAAAGCAGCAGGUUAAUACCCCGCUGUUCUGACGGUACCCAAAGAAUAAGCACCGGCUAACUUCGUG